AUUGAAGGUAUCUUCAUUGUGCAUUCUGCUCUUUUUGGAUCGUUUAUACAUGCUAACUGUGACAAUAUCCUAUAUUUUUCAUUCAUUCUUUUAUCAUGUGCUGAUAUAACACUGUUUAAAGAAAUAUAUUUCAUGAGUUGUGAAAACUGCUACAUUCCUCCAAAGCACAAGAGUACAUGAUUUAAAUAGAGAAAGUCACUUUGCAUUGUCACACAUGCUUCAGUGCUCUGAGAGUGUUUAUAGUGCUGUGAGUUUAACACUUCAUGACUGAGAGCAGAACAGAACACAAUCUUCAUCAUCACACAAGACAAAAGAACAACAAUGAACAAAAUCACCUUCUUCAUCUGGACUCUCACACUGAUCGCUCAAGAGUGUAGAGGACAGUACACUGUAACUCAGAGUCCAUCAAUAACAGCAGUUCAACCAGGACAAGAAGUCAGAAUAAACUGUAAAACCAGCAGUAGAGUGUAUGGUGGUAAUUAUUUAGCCUGGUACUUACAGAAACCUGGAGAAGCUCCUAAACUCCUCAUAUAUCAUGCAACAAGCCGUUAUACUGGAACUCCAUCUAGAUUCAGUGGCAGUGGAUCUGACAGUGAUUUCACUCUGACCAUCAGUGGAGUCCAGACUGAAGAUACAGGAGAUUAUUACUGUCAGAGUUUACACUAUCCAAACAGUGUAUGGGUGUUCACACAGUGAUAAAGAGUGGUACAAAAACCUCGGUCAGUCAGACGUCACAGUGAUGCACUGAUACAGCUGAGAGAUACUGCAGCUGCUGAUGGAGGAUCACAAACAACACAAUAUUGUAUCAAACCUUUCAGAAACAUUAUUUAUUUAUUUGGAUGUACUAAGCAUGUAACAUAAUCUUUAUAUUAUAUAAAUGUUAGUGGUGUUUGGUCCUGCAAAACUUUCCACUACAAUGUAAUCGAACUGCAGGAAAGUCAGUCACUUUAAUUGCACUUCCAUGCUUCAUCACUAGAUGGCGUGUCUGUUACAUAACUGAGUUCUCUAUCUGUCAGUCACUUUGACGUUGUGUCGAUGUGAUGACACUAGUGUAGUGUUUCUCAACCUUUUUUACUCGAUGGCCUCCUCCUUCACUAGAUCAAUACUGCAGUGCCCCCCUAAGAUGCCUGACAUUUCCUCUUAUACUGAACUUCCACGGCAAAGAGAGAAAAGUGUUUGUAUUUAAGCCUUUUUAUUAACAUUUGUUUGCAUUAUUACUCUUCUACUGCAUGUUUUGUAAUAUUCUUUAAUAUUCUUUUUGAAAACAUAAUUGGUAAAUUAAAGCUAUGCUUUAUAACUUAAAAGAAGUCCCUCUGCUAAAUUAUAAUACUCUGAUGUUACCCAGGUCGAGUGAUUGCAUCUGUGCCAACAGAACGAUUGAAACUCCCAUCUAAAGCCUGUCGGUUCACGUCGUCCCUGAUAACAAGAACUUAAUGCUGUUGGACAGGCUGUCUCUGCUGUACAUGCCACGGACAUGAACGAGGAUAGUCCCGACCCAGCACACAUGCAGGAACUAUGCUCAUCAACCGAUUUAUUAAUAAUUAAUAAUCAUCAAUAAUUAAUAAUCAUAAACUGUGAGGUAAGAUUAGUUUACACACAUCAGAAGGCCUACUCUCUCAUCCCUGCAUAGAAAGACACAUGAGAUGCUAAAAUUCAAUGGCUAAAAGCAGCACUUUAAAGGAAAAUUCACUAAUCACUGAUGCACAUUAUGACAGAAACCCUUAACAAUGUUCUAACAUCAUAAAUACAGCGAUUAUGAUAUAAAUAGACAAUAAAGCAAAUACAGGAUAAAUGUGAAACAACAAAACGACCUCUGCUUCCCCGUCGACAUACAGCAUGAGCGCAAAUGCUUAAAGGGGAAACAAUAAAUCUUCCUAUGGUGUCCCAGUAAUUGUUCCCGAUUAAACCACUGAAAAUACAACAUUACAUACAAGUUUUGCUGAAGUUAACUCAAUUAUAGAAUUGUUUCUUUAUUCCUCUAUGGCAUGGUGUCGCCCUCAGGGCAACAUAAAACGUUUUUGGACUUCACACUGGAUCUAUAUAUGACACAUCUGUUCAAUGAAAUGAGGGGCUGAAGUGGGUGCAGCCUUUUCUGUUUAUCCACAUUUCCUGAUGGAUAUAUUAUCAGGGACCCCCAAUCAGAAUGUGAGGUGGAGGGUUUCUGAAAGUACACUGCACUGCUACAGCAAACAAUAGACAAGUGUUUGAAUGUUGAGCAGCAAGAUCAUUGACUACUGAUACAGCAGGAAUCAUUCAGUUGUGUCCUGUAGAGAAUGAUGUGUAAAUGUGUAUGUCUGACUCUGUAUAUUUACUGUUACUGUGCUUUGGUGAUGUAAAGCCUUUCUUUUAACCCUGUCAGUAAAACUAUUGGACUCUGAAUGUA
Long non-coding RNA from Ctenopharyngodon idella (grass carp), 2383 nucleotides. RefSeq lists it as uncharacterized. The transcript is spliced from 2 exons. The record is from RefSeq and is a predicted model, not a curated record. NCBI's taxonomy places the organism in Eukaryota, Metazoa, Chordata, Actinopteri, Cypriniformes, Xenocyprididae.